GAGCUCUCCCUGGCUACUCAUAUACUAAAAUUGGAAUGAUACAGAGAAGAUUUGUGUGGCCCUGUACACGGAAGACACACAAAUUCAAGAAGCAUUCCAUGUUGUG
Small nuclear RNA from Phyllostomus hastatus (greater spear-nosed bat), 106 nucleotides. Lineage: Eukaryota; Metazoa; Chordata; Mammalia; Chiroptera; Phyllostomidae. The record is from RefSeq and is a predicted model, not a curated record.